Long non-coding RNA from Hermetia illucens (black soldier fly), 941 nucleotides. RefSeq lists it as uncharacterized. NCBI's taxonomy places the organism in Eukaryota, Metazoa, Arthropoda, Insecta, Diptera, Stratiomyidae. The record is from RefSeq and is a predicted model, not a curated record. The transcript has 2 exons.
GUUUUUUCGGGAAGGGAAAAAGAAAAAGAAGAGGAGGAAGGUGACAAUUGCGGUGUGUAUUGCUCACGUUUUUUGAGGUUGGGAUAUCGAAAAUUGUAAGGAUGAGAGAUAGUUGGUCGCCGGGGAGAAAAUUGACGAAUAGACGAACCUUUAUCGCCGUUACGUUAGCUACUCUUUUUGUGGUCGUGUCUGGCGCAGGCGUCGAUGUGUGCUUCAGUAGUGCUUUAACCGCUUGUUGCGAGACGUAAGGAGGCGGCACCUGUCCAAGAUGAGGAAGCUGCCAUCUCCGCGGUGACAACAUCGUUCAUCGAAUCCACUGCGACUCUGACCGCUGUCGAGAGUGAAGGCACCAUGUCGACGAUAAGGUCAACCAUAUGAAGGGUCGAGUUCCCCGAUCGAUAAAUGAAAGGACUAGAUUAUUGUGAGUGUGCAAUUUUGCACUAAAUGUAAGGUACUCUUUAUAGAAUAAAUGCGCCAUAGUGCGUAGACUUAGAGACUAAUUAAAUCCAAACGAGAUUACUAUGUUCACCUUAUAAUAGAGAAAUUUUGGAAGUUUUAGCUGUGAGAACACAUUCGGUCCAUCUUGAUGGACAUGCAGAAUUUAGGUAUAGGUUUACUACUAAUUAAUUUUGCUGUGUAGUUUAUUAGUAUUAUUAGUCUUCUAUAUCUUAGAACUUAGGAUUAAUUUCCGUGAGAGAAUGGGGCUAUGUUCCUCAUCCCUUUGCUUUUCCUUUGCCGCGAAAGAGCUGCUCGCCUUGAUAUCUAUUGAUUAGAUCAACUGAUGGACGAAGGAUAUUUGCAUUUUAAGUAUAGCAAAAUUUUUUUCUAUUGGCUAUAAUUCGUAUUUAUGAAGAAUACAAGAUUCGUAAAUAAGCAAUAUAUAUCAUAAAAGCAAUGGGAGAAAGUAUGUCUUCAGAGGAGAGAAUAUAUUUAAAUAAAAA